GACGUAGGGGGCGAGCGUUGUCCGGAUUCAUUGGGCGUAAAGGGUGCGUAGGCGGCGCGGAAAGUUGGGUGUGAAAUCCCUCGGCUCAACCGAGGAACUGCGCCCAAAACUACCGUGCUCGAGGGAGAUAGAGGUGAGCGGAACUUAGGGUGGAGCGGUGAAAUGCGUUGAUAUCCUAAGGAACACCGGUGGCGAAAGCGGCUCACUGGAUCUCUUCUGACGCUGAGGCACGAAAGCUAGGGUAGCGAACGGG
This 253-nucleotide ribosomal RNA is filed under the name uncultured bacterium. RNAcentral describes it as "partial 16S ribosomal RNA". It matches the Rfam family "Bacterial small subunit ribosomal RNA", at positions 524 to 776 of the family's 1533-position model. The record is from RNAcentral.